This 27-nucleotide non-coding RNA is filed under the name Homo sapiens (human). The record is from RNAcentral. Lineage: Eukaryota; Metazoa; Chordata; Mammalia; Primates; Hominidae.
UGCCAAAUGGACCCGAGUGGGAGCCUG